CCCCGAACUCUGACCACAAAGGGAAUAACGUCUGUCAAGUUAUUUGUGUCUGAAAAUCCCGAUUGGUUUUUUUGAACUACUAGAAGGAUUCUGGAGAACCACUGACGGCGAGAACAGCCCAAAUGAGAUCCUGGAUGAUCGUGAAAUGGUGUGGCCAGCCAUGCGAUCGGAUUGUGGGAUUUGCCUGAGAAACUGAUUCAAGCAACCCUGGAUUACAGAUAAGCCCUAUGCACUACUUUUCCUACCCGGAUAAUAGGGUUUGCACACUGACAAUUCCCCUACAGUACACCUGUUUGGGUUUUCAACGACUUUAAAGGACAAUUCAGACUGGACAAUUCAAACUUCACAACAGGAACACUUUAAUCUGUUUCAUUCAUUCCCAAGAGCUCUGAUACUGUUCAUAUAAAUCUUCCAUUUAAAUGUCUUUAUUUUGUUUUGUUUUACAUGUAUUCACCUUUAAAAUGCACUAUUAGUGUGCAAUUUGGGUUAUUGUGUUGUAUAUGUAUAUAAAUGGUACUGAGGCAAUAAAGGUCCCAGUUAUUCACUUCCAAGCCAACUCCUUUUGUGAGUCCCCAAAACAAAAC
Long non-coding RNA from Astatotilapia calliptera (eastern happy), 584 nucleotides. NCBI's taxonomy places the organism in Eukaryota, Metazoa, Chordata, Actinopteri, Cichliformes, Cichlidae. The record is from Ensembl.